UACGGAGGGAGCUAGCGUUGUUCGGAAUUACUGGGCGUAAAGGGCGCGUAGGCGGCCGCCCGCGUCGGAUGUGAAAGCCCGGGGCUCAACCCCGGAACGGCAUCCGAGACGGGGCGGCUGGAGACCGGGAGAGGAGGGUGGAAUAGCCAGUGUAGAGGUGAAAUUCGUAGAUAUUGGCUGGAACACCGGUGGCGAAAGCGGCUCUCUGGCCCGGUUCUGACGCUGAGGCGCGAAAGCGUGGGGAGCAAACAGG
RNAcentral lists this ribosomal RNA (253 nucleotides) under uncultured bacterium. RNAcentral's name for it is "partial 16S ribosomal RNA". It matches the Rfam family "Bacterial small subunit ribosomal RNA", at positions 524 to 776 of the family's 1533-position model. The record is from RNAcentral.